AGAUCUUGAUUCCCACCUUCCUCCUAGAAACAAUUAGUGAUACAAGGAUUUAUAUAAUAAAACAGGAAAUUAGUUUUUCCUAGUUCCCAUAUUUCUGCUAUGCUGAGACUUGGCUUGAGAGCGAGUUCUAGGAAGAAAAUUAUGGACAGAAUCCUGCUGUGACUGCUUAUCGGAAGAAAUAAAUUUCUUCUUCUGGCCUAGAAUAUCUACAUUGCCCAAACCUCCGCCUGCAAAUCACACCACAUUGAAAUCACUGCAGAGUUUUGAUGCGAAACUGCAUCAUCAAUUAAAUUGUGCACCAGGCUAUAUACUCCAAGGAUACAGCAUGUAGAACAAAAAUGGCUGUAUAAUCUACAGUUGAACGGUAGCUGCUUCCUUUAAUUAGCCUGAUUUAAGUGAUACAUAACCAGUCAACCAGAUCUAUAUUUUUAUUUCUUUGAAUUUAACUGACUGUCACAGACCAUUGCAAUGCAGGGAGCUCCACGGACUAGGAUGUCUAAUCUCUUUCAUUAAGAAAGAUCAGUACUCACUAAGGAUGCCUAAUUUCUUUGUGUUAAAAUUAACCAAAAGUCAAGCCUAAAUUGCCAGUAAUGGCAAUAAAAAAUAUAGGAGCCAGUUUACUUGCUGGAUUCCCAAUUGUUCAUCUAUAUUUCCCAUUAAACCUAAACAUCAGUUGACAGAAGUGAUGGUGACAUUGUAGCCACUUUUAUGCAACUAUGUCUUUGUUCAAAAGUUGGAAGACUAAUAAAAAAAAGGUUAAAAAUCGAACAGAAUUAUUAUAUAAAACAAAUAAAGAUUGUGCUUUUCAUUUUGACUAAAAUGUGAAGAUCAUCAUUUAUUUUUUCAUAAUGAAUAAAAGGAAAUAUGAGAGAUGGCACCUGCAAAAGUGACAAAACUGACAACUGAAAUGAUAAAUACAAAAUUUCAAACUUUCAGAAUAUGCGUAGAGGAAAAUGUAGAACAAAUUUUGCAUGGCAUAUGAUGUAACAGUUGAAAUGAUAAUUUAAGAAAUGUGGUCUGACUGUAAUUAGAUAUAUUCUACAGGAAACAAAAGCAAUUAUAGACCACAACUUAGAGUUUGUUUACAUACCUGCAGUUUGUUCAUUGGUUUGGACAGCAGUGGAUGCCUGCUCUUUGCUCUUUCUGCCACCCAGAAUAUCACUUUCAGCAUCAAGAGAUGAAGAAACAGUUUUUUUCCUUUUUACUGUACAGCUGUCCUUCUUAGAUAUAUCACCUUUUCCUUCGGAGUAAUUUGAUUCUGUUCCAUGAGUUGACCUACACUUUGCUUCCAAAGUUUCUUGUUGAACUGAAGAACGAGUAAAUCUUUUCCUGUUGGUUGAAGCCCCUAACUUCAGAUCAUCUGCAGAGGUCUUCAUUUGAAUAUUGUUAUUGGAAAUUUCAGAACCAUUACUCUCAUUAACUGCAAGAUUUGCUUCAGAAUAAUUUUCUGCAGUUAUAUGAGAUGAUUUCUCUAGUGAUUCCGUAGCUAGACUUUCUUUUUCUCUACGGAGUGCUGAACGAGUAAGCCUCUUUCCACCAGUUGAAGUCCCUAACUUCAGGUCAUCAGCACAGUUCUUGAUCUGAAUAUUAUCAUUUGCAAUUCCACUAUCAUUCCGAAUAGCUGAGCUCGCAGGCUGGUUUAACUUUGACUGUCUUCUUGUACCUGUGCGAGUACUGGAGAAAAUGACUUCUAAAUUCCUGUCUUCAGCACUAGAAUUGCUGAAUUCUGAGGUCUUAUCUUCAUUUUUCCAUUCUUGAUUCAGCAUUCCAGAGGAUAAUCCUGCAAGUUGUGACUUUGGUGAAGUACUCCUCUGAGUUGAAAUAAGUGACUUCACCAUCUCAACAGAUUCUGAAACAACCGGAAAAGGAGUAGCCAAUAUAUCUGAGGAAGCCUUGUCCUUCAUAUUAACCAUGUUGUUAUUGAACAAGCUGGUUCCAUCUAUUGCGACACCCUUUGUAGUAAUUUGCACUCGUGAGGCAAGAGCUGCACAAGCAGCAAGUGGACUGAGAUGUGACCUGUUUUCUGAAAGUUCUUCAACGGAUGAAGUGAUCACUGGUGGAUCCUCAACUUCUGCUGCCACUUGUAGAUUACUGGACCUCCUGGUUAUUCUUCUCACUGGACUCUGGUCACAAGGAACUUUAACACAUGGAAUGCUUAUUUUGGCUGCAGCAACAAGCUUGCAACUUCCCUUUUUAUCUAAUAUGCUGUUGCCCGCAGAGUAAUGUUCAAUCCUCAAACGAGUUUCUUUCGUAAUUUCUUUCUCCAAUGCAUCAGCUGAUUUGCUGAUAUCUUUUAUUUGCUUUUCCAGAAGAUUACUUAGGUCCACGUCAUAGUUUAUGUCCUCAAUCAGAAAUGGAGAUGCACCAGAAGAUUUCACAUGUUUUUCUGAUUCCAAUAACACUGCAACAGUUGGGUAGACAGUGAUGCUUUUCAUGGCCAAUUUCAUGAUUGAACUAGAUGGGACAGUGAUUCCAUCUUCAAAAUCUUGGUGAAGCCAUUUGAUAGUGAACUUGCAUCUACAGGGGCCCCUAUAGUGCCGUACUCUUAAGACCUUUUCCACCUUAGCAUCAUAGAACAGGCUGCCAAGUCCUGAAUUAUUGGCAGCAAGGACAUGCUCACUCUCUUUGAUUGAAGAACAGUCAUCACCUUUAAGAGGAACAGAACGGAACCGUAAUUGUGUCAGUACUUCUUCCUUGUCCAAGAAUUCAACUCCUGAAUCUUGCCCAAAGUCAACAAAUAGACCAUCUCCAACAGAGCUGAGUGAGACUUUACAAGGAUGCCAAGACGAGUCCUCUUUGCGCUUAGAUUCGAGUUCAAAGUCGCUCUGUGCUGCAGGAAGAGUGGCCAUUUGUAGUGGAGGAUUGGUAGGUGAAAUUGUGAAUGGAGAAGGAUUUUGGGAAU
Molecule: unclassified non-coding RNA, 2902 nt
Filed under: Hevea brasiliensis (rubber tree)
Lineage: Eukaryota; Viridiplantae; Streptophyta; Magnoliopsida; Malpighiales; Euphorbiaceae
Source: RNAcentral